This 71-nucleotide transfer RNA is filed under the name Bos taurus (domestic cattle). It matches the Rfam family "tRNA". From Rfam's summary of the family: Transfer RNA (tRNA) molecules are approximately 80 nucleotides in length. Their secondary structure includes four short double-helical elements and three loops (D, anti-codon, and T loops). RNAcentral also lists the same sequence under 5 other names. The record is from Rfam by way of RNAcentral. Lineage: Eukaryota; Metazoa; Chordata; Mammalia; Artiodactyla; Bovidae.
UCCCUUGUGGCUCAGUGGUAAAGAACCUACCUGCAAUGCAGGAGACACAGGUUCAAUCCCUGGAUUGGGAA